Molecule: ribosomal RNA, 110 nt
Filed under: Acinetobacter baumannii
Lineage: Bacteria; Pseudomonadati; Pseudomonadota; Gammaproteobacteria; Moraxellales; Moraxellaceae
Source: RNAcentral
CUGGCGACCAUAGCAAGAGUGAACCACCUGAUCCCUUCCCGAACUCAGAAGUGAAACCUCUUAGCGCUGAUGGUAGUGGGAUUACCCAUGUGAGAGUAAGUCAUCGCCAG